This 494-nucleotide ribosomal RNA is filed under the name uncultured bacterium. RNAcentral describes it as "partial 16S ribosomal RNA". It matches the Rfam family "Bacterial small subunit ribosomal RNA", at positions 28 to 507 of the family's 1533-position model. The record is from RNAcentral.
GACGAACGCUGGCGGCGUGCUUAACACAUGCAAGUCGAACGGUGAAGCGCCUUCCUUUUUGGUGGGUGUGGAUGAGUGGCGAACGGGUGAGUAACACGUGAGUAACCUGCCCCCUUCUUCUGGAUAACCGCAUGAAAGUGUGGCUAAUACGGGAUAUUCUGGGUCUGUCGCAUGAUGGGUCUGGGAAAGAUCUUGUUUCGGUUGGUGAUGGGCUCGCGGCCUAUCAGCUUGUUGGUGGGGUGCUGGACUACCCAGGCGGUGACGGGUAGCCGGCCUGGGAGGGUGGACGGUCACACUGGGACUGAGACACGGCCCAGACUCCUACGGGAGGCAGCAGUGGGGAAUAUUGCACAAUGGGCGCAAGCCUGAUGCAGCGACGCCGCGUGAGGGAUGGAGGCCUUCGGGUUGUGAACCUCUUUCGCCAGUGAAGCAGGCCUGCCUCGUUUGUGGGUGGGUUGACGGUAGCUGGAUAAGAAGCGCCGGCUAACUACGUG